AACGCACAUUGCGCCCCCUGGUACUCCGGGGGGCACGCCUGUCCGAGCGUCAUCCUCAAACCCACUCGGGUGCCUCGCUGCGCCCGGUCCCGGGACGCGUCGUCGGCCACCUCGGUUCGACGGCGGUCCCCAGAGCCAUCGGACCGUUGACCGUCCAGCCGGACGCGACGACACGUGGUUGGUUGGCCCGCAUGGGCAGAUCUCGCGUGCGCGGCGUGCGUGCAGGGUCGGUCGGCUCGAUGUCCGGGGCGUGCGUCCGCUCCAGACGCCGUCCGCACCGGGAGCCGCGCUCCCACCAAGCUUGACCUCGGAUCAGGCGGGGAUACCCGCUGAACUUAA
RNAcentral lists this unclassified non-coding RNA (339 nucleotides) under uncultured fungus. RNAcentral describes it as "partial contains 5.8S ribosomal RNA, internal transcribed spacer 2, and large subunit ribosomal RNA". Lineage: Eukaryota; Fungi. The record is from RNAcentral.